AACCUUCGGCAAUGGGCGAAAAGCCUGACCGAUCGACGCCGCGUGUGGGAAGAAGGCCUCGGGUCGUAAACCUCUGUCCUUGGGGAAGAAGGUGACGGUACCCCAGGACGAAGCCCCGGCUAACUACGUUCCAGCAGCCGCGGUAAUACGUAGGGGGCGAGCGUUAUCCGGAAUUACUGGGCGUAAAGGGUGCGUAGGCGGCCUUUUAAGUCAGAUGUGAAAGGCUACGGCUUAACCGUAGUUAGCAUUUGAAACUAAAAGGCUUGAGUGCAGGAGAGGAGAGUGGAAUUCCUAGUGUAGCGGUGAAAUGCGUAGAUAUUAGGAGGAACACCAGUGGCGAAGGCGACUCUCUGGACUGCAACUGACGCUGAGGCACGAAAGCGUGGGGAGCGAAC
Molecule: ribosomal RNA, 395 nt
Filed under: uncultured bacterium
Lineage: Bacteria
Description: partial 16S ribosomal RNA
Rfam family: Bacterial small subunit ribosomal RNA
Source: RNAcentral